CAUUAGAUAGCUGAAAUGCCAGCAUUGGUCUCUUAAACCAUCUUAUAGUAAAUUAGCACUUACUUCUAAUGA
RNAcentral lists this transfer RNA (72 nucleotides) under Hylobitelus xiaoi. Its description in RNAcentral is "tRNA-Lys". Lineage: Eukaryota; Metazoa; Arthropoda; Insecta; Coleoptera; Curculionidae. The record is from RNAcentral.